AUCACCCCAUCCACGUGUUCCAGGGCCUGCCCCGGCCUGUCACAGGUGCUGCGUCACUGGCAGAAAACCACAGGCUAAGCAGACAGAGCAACAGACGCCUUUUCUUCGUGGCUUCGUGCGGAGGUUUCCCGGCAGCGAAGGAGCUGGGGGAGGGGAUCGAACAGCUGAUCUGGCCCCAGAACCUGGGAGCAAAUUGAUCACCAGAGCCGAACUCAGCAGAGGACGCACGGCCCCCGCCCGAGACGUCGCAGCCCCCGGGGAGAGCGCCCCAUGGAAGACGUGGUUGAAUGCAGUGAAGGCCUGAGCCAGACCGAUGUGCUGAGGAAGAAGAACCAGCUGGAGGAGAAGGGGCUGGUGACGGAGGGGCUGGCUGCCUGCUUCAGCCGGGCCAUGGAGCUGCUGAAGAGCCGUCAGCAUGUCCGGAUGUGGCAGGGCGGCAGAUUCAUCUUGCAGAGCGAUGGGUGCUGGGUGGAGUUCAGGAUGGGAAACACCCACCCGAUCCUGCUGGUGUGGUACGACCCCCACAAGAAGGAGGUUCAGAUCUCCGCCCCCUAAGAGGGGAGGGGAUCAGUCCACCCAUCAACUCCUCGCCUCUCUGUGCUGAAUAAAGGCCCUCAGGGGGCUUGAAUCUGGC
Molecule: long non-coding RNA, 634 nt
Organism: Trachemys scripta elegans
Lineage: Eukaryota; Metazoa; Chordata; Testudines; Emydidae
Exons: 2
Source: RefSeq, a predicted model, not a curated record